Beta vulgaris subsp. vulgaris (sugar beet) is the source of this 137-nucleotide non-coding RNA. The record is from Rfam. NCBI's taxonomy places the organism in Eukaryota, Viridiplantae, Streptophyta, Magnoliopsida, Caryophyllales, Amaranthaceae.
AUCCCAGGUAAGCUGAUUUAUGUGCUUAGCUGAUUCAUGGGAGGCCAAUAUUGAAGAAUUUAUUUUCAGAAAGUUUCGCUGAUAACGCCUAUUUCUUUUUUAAUGAAGGCGUUUCAUUAGUAACUUUUCUGACAUUU